UUAAUUGAAACCAAAAUAGAGGUAAAUUAUUGUUAAUAAUCAAAUUGAAUUAAAUAAUUCCAAUUGAA
RNAcentral lists this transfer RNA (68 nucleotides) under Parapolybia crocea. Its description in RNAcentral is "tRNA-Asn". The record is from RNAcentral. Lineage: Eukaryota; Metazoa; Arthropoda; Insecta; Hymenoptera; Vespidae.